GACGAACGCUGGCGGCGUGCUUAACACAUGCAAGUCGAGCGGAGCGGCGGAGGGGUGAGUAAUGCCUAGGAAUCUGCCUGGUAGUGGGGGAUAGCGUCCGGAAACGGACGCUAAUACCGCAUCCUAUCAGAUGAGCCUAGGUCGGAUUAGCUAGUUGGUGGGGGAAAGGCCUACCAAGGCGACGAUCCGUAGCUGGUCUGAGAGGAUGAUCAGUCACACUGGAACUGAGACACGGUCCAGACUCCUACGGGAGGCAGCAGUGGGGAAUAUUGGACAAUGGGCGAAAGCCUGAUGCAGCCAUGCCGCGUGUGUGAAGAAGGCCUUCGGAUUGUAAAGCACUUUCAGUUGGGAGGCGUUACUCGCAGAAUAAGCAUCGGCUAACUCCGUGCCAGCAGCCGCGGUAAUAC
Molecule: ribosomal RNA, 407 nt
Filed under: uncultured bacterium
Lineage: Bacteria
Description: partial 16S ribosomal RNA
Rfam family: Bacterial small subunit ribosomal RNA
Source: RNAcentral